UACGAAGGGUGCAAACGUUGCUCGGAAUUAUUGGGCGUAAAGCGCACGUAGGCGGCUUUGCACGUCGGAUGUGAAAUCCCCAGGCUUAACCUGGGAACUGCGUCUGAUACUGGAUGGCUUGAAUCCGGGAGAGGGAUGCAGAAUUCCAGGUGUAGCGGUGAAAUGCGUAGAUAUCUGGAGGAAUACCGGUGGCGAAGGCGGCAUCCUGGACCGGCAUUGACGCUGAGGAGCGAAAGCUAGGGGAGCAAACGGG
Molecule: ribosomal RNA, 253 nt
Filed under: uncultured bacterium
Lineage: Bacteria
Description: partial 16S ribosomal RNA
Rfam family: Bacterial small subunit ribosomal RNA
Source: RNAcentral